RNAcentral lists this ribosomal RNA (451 nucleotides) under uncultured bacterium. RNAcentral describes it as "partial 16S ribosomal RNA". It matches the Rfam family "Bacterial small subunit ribosomal RNA", at positions 29 to 523 of the family's 1533-position model. The record is from RNAcentral.
AACGAACGCUGGCGGCAGGCUUAACACAUGCAAGUCGAACGGGCGUAGCAAUACGCUAGUGGCAGACGGGUGAGGAACACGUGGGAAUAUUCCUUUCAGUUCGGAAUAACUCAGGGAAACUUGAGCUAAUACCGGAUACGUCCUUCGGGAGAAAGAUUUAUCGCUGAAAGAUUAGCCCGCGUCUGAUUAGCUAGUUGGUGAGGUAACGGCUCACCAAGGCGACGAUCAGUAGCUGGUCUGAGAGGAUGAUCAGCCACAUUGGGACUGAGACACGGCCCAAACUCCUACGGGAGGCAGCAGUGGGGAAUAUUGGACAAUGGGCGCAAGCCUGAUCCAGCCAUGCCGCGUGAGUGAUGAAGGCCUUCGGGUUGUAAAGCUCUUUUGUCCGGGAAGAUAAUGACUGUACCGGAAGAAUAAGCCCCGGCAAACUUCGUGCCAGCAGCCGCAGUAA